This 253-nucleotide ribosomal RNA is filed under the name uncultured bacterium. RNAcentral's name for it is "partial 16S ribosomal RNA". It matches the Rfam family "Bacterial small subunit ribosomal RNA", at positions 524 to 776 of the family's 1533-position model. The record is from RNAcentral.
UACGGGGGGGGCAAGCGUUGUUCGGAAUUACUGGGCGUAAAGCGCACGUAGGCGGCUUCUUAAGUCGGUGGUGAAAUCCUGGAGCUCAACUCCAGAACUGCCUUCGAUACUGGGAAGCUCGAGUCCGGGAGAGGUGAGUGGAACUGCGAGUGUAGAGGUGAAAUUCGUAGAUAUUCGCAAGAACACCAGUGGCGAAGGCGGCUCACUGGCCCGGUACUGACGCUGAGGUGCGAAAGCGUGGGGAGCGAACAGG